AACGUAGGAGACAAACGUUAUCCGGAGUUACUGGGCGUAAAGGGCGUGCAGGCGGUCGACUAAGUCUGGCGUGAAAGCUCGCGGCUAAACCGCGAGAGGUCGUUGGAUACUGGUUGACUAGAGGACGGUAGAGGCGUGUGGAAUUCCGGGUGUAGUGGUGAAAUGCGUAGAGAUCCGGAGGAACACCAGUGGCGAAGGCGACACGCUGGGCCGUACCUGACGCUAAGGAGCGAAAGUGUGGGGAGCGAACAGG
RNAcentral lists this ribosomal RNA (253 nucleotides) under uncultured bacterium. Its description in RNAcentral is "partial 16S ribosomal RNA". It matches the Rfam family "Bacterial small subunit ribosomal RNA", at positions 524 to 776 of the family's 1533-position model. The record is from RNAcentral.